GACGAACGCUGGCGGCGUGCUUAACACAUGCAAGUCGAACGGUGAAGCGCUUUCCUUUUUGGUUGGUGUGGAUGAGUGGCGAACGGGUGAGUAACACGUGAGUAACCUGCCCCCUUCUUCUGGAUAACCGCAUGAAAGUGUGGCUAAUACGGGAUAUUCUGCGCCUGCUGCAUGGUGGGUGUGGGAAAGAUUGUGCCUUUGGGUGUUUUCGGUGGGGGAUGGGCUCGCGGCCUAUCAGCUUGUUGGUGGGGUGAUGGCCUACCAAGGCGGUGACGGGUAGCCGGCCUGAGAGGGUGGACGGUCACACUGGGACUGAGACACGGCCCAGACUCCUACGGGAGGCAGCAGUGGGGAAUAUUGCACAAUGGGUGCAAGCCUGAUGCAGCGACGCCGCGUGAGGGAUGGAGGCCUUCGGGUUGUGAACCUCUUUCGCCAGUGAAGCAGGCCUGCUCCUUGUGGGUGGGUUGACGGUAGCUGGAUAAGAAGCGCCGGCUAACUACGUG
RNAcentral lists this ribosomal RNA (503 nucleotides) under uncultured bacterium. Its description in RNAcentral is "partial 16S ribosomal RNA". It matches the Rfam family "Bacterial small subunit ribosomal RNA", at positions 28 to 507 of the family's 1533-position model. The record is from RNAcentral.